This 253-nucleotide ribosomal RNA is filed under the name uncultured bacterium. RNAcentral describes it as "partial 16S ribosomal RNA". It matches the Rfam family "Bacterial small subunit ribosomal RNA", at positions 524 to 776 of the family's 1533-position model. The record is from RNAcentral.
UACGAAGGGGGCUAGCGUUGCUCGGAAUCACUGGGCGUAAAGGGUGCGUAGGCGGGUCUUUAAGUCAGGGGUGAAAACCUGGAGCUCAACUCCAGAACUGCCUUUGAUACUGAAGAUCUUGAGUCCGGGAGAGGUGAGUGGAACUGCGAGCGUAGAGGUGAAAUUCGUAGAUAUUCGCAAGAACACCAGUGGCGAAGGCGGCUCACUGGCCCGGUACUGACGCUGAGGCACGAAAGCGUGGGGAGCAAACAGG